RNAcentral lists this ribosomal RNA (253 nucleotides) under uncultured bacterium. RNAcentral describes it as "partial 16S ribosomal RNA". It matches the Rfam family "Bacterial small subunit ribosomal RNA", at positions 524 to 776 of the family's 1533-position model. The record is from RNAcentral.
UACGAAGGGGGCUAGCGUUGUUCGGAAUUAUUGGGUUUAAAGGGUGCGUAGGCGGCCCGUUAAGUCAGUGGUGAAAGCCUCCAGCUCAACUGGAGAACUGCCAUUGAUACUGGCGGGCUUGAGUACAGACGAGGUAGGCGGAAUUGAUUGUGUAGCGGUGAAAUGCAUAGAUACAAUCAAGAACACCGAUUGCGUAGGCAGCUUACUAGGCUGUAACUGACGCUGAGGCACGAAAGCGUGGGGAGCGAACAGG